This is an RNA transcript of Sipha flava (yellow sugarcane aphid), 929 nucleotides long. RefSeq lists it as uncharacterized. NCBI's taxonomy places the organism in Eukaryota, Metazoa, Arthropoda, Insecta, Hemiptera, Aphididae. The record is from RefSeq and is a predicted model, not a curated record. The transcript has 7 exons.
UAAUUUUUUUAUUUUCACAUUCUUCUGAGCUAUCAUUGGAACUAACUUCAUUAUCAAACUCAACAUUUGGUUUUCUGAUUCGUUUAAGGACAAUGAAGUAUUUUUUGAAAUGUUUUCAGUUCCUGAUAAAAGCUUCAGCUGUUCUUGCUUUGCUGUACUGAGGCCAAAAACAAUUAUUAUAAUCUUUGAACCAAUUACAUGGAACUGCUUCUACACUGUUUUCUUCCAAAAAUUUAACAACAUACCAACCAGGAAUUUAGAUAAUUUAUCUGUAUUAAGCGGACAAAAUGUAGCAGAUGUAAAUAUAUCAAGUAAAAUUUUUGAUGUUAGUAUGUCAGAUGAUAAUUUAAAUGUUGGUAAUCAAGGAACAAUUGAUACAAUGGAAGAACUUCAAAAGUACAUUGAUUCAAAAUUUGAAACAUUAAAUAAUUCUAUAUUGAAUCAGCAAAAUUACAUGCAACAAUCGUUACUUUGAAUGCUUGGAAAAUGGCAGACUGAUACAUCCAGAUUACUUAUAACCAUGGGUCUGCACCAGAAAGAAAAAUUACAAUAUUUAAAAAAUAUUCAAAGUAUGGUCAAUAACAUAAACACAGUACCAAUUAAUUCUCAUGACAACACUAAUAGAUAUAAAGAAGAAGGUAUUGCAAUAUACAAUAGAUUUCCAGCAACUUCUUUAGAUAUUUUAAAUAAACUUGAUGAUGAAGUAAAAAUUCUUAAAUCAACUAAAAUUGAUGCAUAUAAUACGUUGGUUAAAAACAUAUCACUUAUUGGUGGAUCGUCUCUGGGUGAACUUUUAAGGCGUACACUUAAGAACAUUUUAACUGAUGAAGUAGCGGAGCAAUUUAGUUGGUUUGGCAGACAAAAAAAAAAAAAAGUUUCGCAAUUACAGGACUAGCUGAUUUGAUAAAAAGUGCUGUUAAAUUGAAAUA